GACGAACGCUGGCGGCGUGGAUUAGGCAUGCAAGUCGAACGGUAUCAUCCUUUCGGGGGUGAGAGAGUGGCGAACUGGUGAGUAACACGUAGGUUAUCUACCCUCAAGACGGGGACAACCCAGGGAAACUUGGGCUAAUACCGGAUGUGAGCAACUUUUAGUUGUUUGAAAGGUGGCGUAAGCUGUCGCUUGGGGAUGAGCCUGCGUCCUAUUAGUUAGUUGGUGAGGUAACGGCUCACCUAGGCAAUGAUAGGUAGGCGGCCUUAACGGGUGGUCGCCCACACUGGGAUUGAGAUACGGCCCAGACUCCUACGGGAGGCAGCAGUCGAGAAUAGUCUACAAUGGUCGGAAGACUGAUAGUGCGACGCCGCGUGAACGAUGAAUCCCUUCGGGGUGUAAAGUUCUUUUAUAUGUGAGCAGUGCUUCUUAUAUUAACAGUAUGGGGAGAGAGAUAUUAGCAUAUGAAUAAGCAACGGCUAACUCCGUGCCAGCAACCGCGGUAAACUAGUCUACG
RNAcentral lists this ribosomal RNA (514 nucleotides) under uncultured bacterium. Its description in RNAcentral is "bacterial SSU rRNA". It matches the Rfam family "Bacterial small subunit ribosomal RNA", at positions 28 to 536 of the family's 1533-position model. The record is from RNAcentral.